AAAGAAUACACCACGAGGACCAUUUGACUGUCCCCUCUGGCUCCUGCAUCUUGCUUCCAGCAUGAACAGACAGGUUUCAUUUGAGAGGAUCUGGCCCAGUGUUUUUGAAAGUUGGCUCACAGAACAGAAGCUCUGGAGUCCCCUAAAGUCUGUGGAACCCAA
RNAcentral lists this long non-coding RNA (162 nucleotides) under Monodelphis domestica (gray short-tailed opossum). Its description in RNAcentral is "lncRNA (ENSMODG00000050522.1)". Lineage: Eukaryota; Metazoa; Chordata; Mammalia; Didelphimorphia; Didelphidae. The record is from RNAcentral.